Xiphias gladius (swordfish) is the source of this 3915-nucleotide long non-coding RNA. RefSeq lists it as uncharacterized. Lineage: Eukaryota; Metazoa; Chordata; Actinopteri; Istiophoriformes; Xiphiidae. The transcript is spliced from 3 exons. The record is from RefSeq and is a predicted model, not a curated record.
UAAUAUUUUGGAGAACUGAAACUGUCAGACUCACCCUCAAGUAACAGCAAGUGGGAGACUGAAAACGACAUAAGAAGAAAUCGUUUCACUAUCCACUUUAAGUUCAUUUCAGAGUCCGAAAGGAAGUCCUGCUGAAACGUUAACGGUGCAUCUCAAUUUGUCCCGGUAGGAAAGGAUUUAGGUAUGUUUGGUAGCACCGGGACGACGCCUGGUCGUGUCUGGAAAACCUACCUGGUGGCCACAGCCCCCCCCUGAGCAGAUGACGAGUAGCCUUCACCUGGUUGGGCAGGUUUUUGGCCUCCAGAAUCACCACUGUCAGCUUCCCUGCAGUAGGCACAUAUCUCAAGGACAAACAUAUGUCUCCAAGCCGCUCGCUCUGAUACAGAGAAAAAGAAGUCCCUCCACUCCUGCAGAGACUGGCUGAAGUCCACACUGCUCAUCGGGAUCUUCACAGCUCCUAUGGCAUCAUGCUUUGAGAAACGGUCAAAGUCGUACACAGUCAUCACCAGUGUCUUCCCGCCCAACUCAGUGUAUGGUACCUGUAAUACAGAACAUGCAUCAAAGACAGUAAUUUGAAUCAUAACGUGUUAUUUGUAAUAGUGAAUCCGGUAAGGAUAAAUAACACAUUUUUUAUUUAUCUUGUAGUUUUAAUUUACCUUAAAUGUGAAAGUCUCAUUGAAGCUGGGUUCAAGGGUCUUUCUGUGAACUUUGGUUUCAAACUUUUUCUUUUUGUCUGGGAGCAGAUAGAGUUUAACAUAAGGGUCAGAACUACCUCCCACAUCCAUGGCAGGAAGCUCUGCAGCCUGCAAGAUGCCCACUACCAGCUGGAAUUUGAUAGCAGAGGAAAGUAAUACAAAAAAAUGAGAAUCUGGCUAAUUGAAAGUUGGAAGAGCGCGUUAAAAUUUGAUAUUUAGAGUUGGCAGAUGGCAGGCAAAAAUGAAUAGCAGCAUCUUACCAUAUUAUCUGUGAAGUUGUAGUCUAAUGUGAAAUGUAGUCUGCCCAGCUUCUCUUCCUCCUUGGGCUCAUUAUUUGACAGCUCUGUUUCUUUGUUACCUUCAUCUUUCAGCGGCUGCACACACAGAGACACACAUACACACAACAUACAGUAAUCUAUGAAAACCUUCUGUCUCAAAAUAUGUUGGAGCAGCUAUUUUUGCUGUGUUCCUACAGUAUAUUGUAUAGUAUUAUACAGGCAGAGGCAAUUAAACAAAGAUAAUGUGACCAUAAUGUUUAUUUGUUGUUUAAAAGGGACAGGCAAAUUUUACACCAUCAAUGUGUUUAAAUGCAACUUAUAUUUUUGAUGACACUCCAAAACAACUAAUCUCAGACCUCAAUUAAACCACAGCAUUGGCGAAAACAAAAACAUCCAUUAGUUCUAACACACACUGACAGUUUUACUAGUCCGGGGUGACCUGAAUGUCAUGACUGUGAUACAUUGGAAGGACGAUACAUCUGCAGGAGAGAGGGAGACUCUUUGUCUGUGUGUGUGUGUGUGGUUGUGUGUGUGUGUGUGUGUGUGCGUGCGUGCGUGCGUGUGUGUUUGCGUGUGUAGCCUACCUCAUUGUAACCUCCAUCCAUUUCGGUGUCAAACCCUCCCCUGCUCUUCUCUUUUCCCGUUUUCUUGUCCUUUUCUUUGUCCUUGUCCUUCUUUUUCAAGCACUUCUUCCAUAAACACACAGCACACGACAGCACCACGCACAAAAUCACGAUACAAAGGGCAGCAACAGCCCACGAUGGCACUGCAAAUCCACAUGAAACACACACACAUACAGUAGAUUAGACAUGAUUAACAUACAUGCACUCUUAGUCAGCCACUUCAACUCAAUGUUAAAAAUGUUAACCAUAAAUCUCCCCUUAACUAGCUUUUAAGUAAGAGAUAUGACAUUUGACACUGUCUGAAAACACUACAUACUGUAUACAGGCCAUGAAAAAAAUAUCAGGGAAAGGCAAUUUGAUCCAAUCCAGUACUCCUGUAAUAAAUGCUAUUGUCAGAGAGAUGUUAAUUGUAAUCUGUAGUAAUUUUUAGUCCAUAUUUUGUGGUGAUGUUAUACUGUAUUACAGUAAAUUGUAAGGUAUUGCCCUUUGUCAAAUCCAUGAUGACAUUUUUAAUGACUUGCAAUUUUGAUUUUCAUUUAAAUCCAAUAUGACAUUUUUAAUGACUUGCAAUUUUGACUUUCUGAUAUAAAUGCACAUAGCAUUACAAGCAGUAUGCAUAUAAAAGUCUAGCAUGUCUGAACUAAUGAAAAGGAAUAUAAGGAAGAACGAAAAGAUAAUGCACUUCUACCAGGGAGAUAACUGUCCUGUAUGCACUUUUAAACAUAGUCUAUCCCAUAUGAGCAAAUACUUGUCUUGCCUUUUCGUAUGCAGUGUGACCCUUCCUCUUUCAGUCACAUGUUCCUGAAAACAAGACACUUUCAACACCUUUACUUCCUUAGGAUAAUUUGACAUCCAAUCAUUUUAGUUGUCAAAGAACAUAUCUGCAAUCUUACUUUAACUCUUCAAAAAGCUUUGAGUUUUGGGCCAGGCCCACAGUGCAUUCAGUUGAGUACCUUCAGUCCAGUAUUUCCAACAUGCUACUGUUAAGAAUAAUUUACAUUGUAUGAGUUGCUGAGUUGCUGUGUCAUUCAUAUUCCUUUAACAAAGGCUACAGCAGUGUUAUUCCCCUCUAAUUGCCAUGAAGUAUACUUUACCGUCUCACAUUCUUACAAAAUUAUCCUCUGGCUCCGGUGCUUGGAUAUGUUUCCCAAAUAUACUCUAUGUCAUAAUUAUUAACGUUAAUCCAUGGGGAGGAACAUUUAGUUAGGUGUCUAACUCACAGUGGAUACUGCGCAGUUCACUCGUGAACUUGUUGGGACUGUGGCCUCCAGAUUGUUUUUGGCCUGGGGUGGUUAUUGCAUUUGGCAAGUGGGUUGCGGUAGCUGGGGUGCCUGGUGCAGCCGGGGCAGCUCGACGGGUCCCAGUCAUUAUUUGAUGAUUGACAGAGGUACCAGAAUUAAACUGGCUGUGAAACAGAGAUGCAGGAAAAGGUGAGUCAGCCCUAAAAAAAAAAUGCCAAAAUGCAGAAUAUAUAGAACAUUAUACUUUACUUAUUACUUAUUAUACAAAAAAGAAACAGGUACACUUGUAAACACCCUCCAUAUGUGCAAAAAACUAAACUGGGGAACCAUCUAAACAAUCCAUCUAAUAACACAUACAGACCAAAGCAGAGUUACCAUAAAUUCCACUGAAGGAUGUAUUUGAGGCAAUAAUGUGCUUAUAGACAAAGUAUGACCAUUAGUGUUAAAUGACUUCUCCUGUUUCUGCUGGUGUGGCACUAACACUUGAACACAGGAUAUGCAAACCGCAGUCUCUGCCAAACCUACUGACAUGGAGGUGAGAGGGAAGGAGGAGAGGAAGGGGAGAGGUAGAGUUGAAGCAUCACGCGUGGACCUUUGCUGUUCCACAGUGAGCUGCCAGAGUUGAUAAUAGUGCCAAGGUCAUGUUCAGUGCAGGUUAACAGACUAUAUGAGAAAAAAGUCUCAAAACCGAGACUUGUCUCCCAAGUGAAAUAAUGUUUUUGAUAUGUUAUUUUGUAUUCUGCAGACAUCACAGGUAUUGAGUAUCUUGGGCUGAAUCAGCAGAUGUGAUCUCACACAGAAGCAGACCGAACUGUUACUGUUAAAUAUCCUGCUUUUUCAGGAUACUUUUCCUUAAAAGAUAGGAGCUUAAACAGAAACCCUCAUUGAUACACUAACAGCAGAAGGAGGAAACAGUAAAAUUCAAGAUACAUCCAAAGGGAUGGCCAAAACAUGUUACGGUUGUCUGAUACUGACCAUGUUGUAAUGUAUUUUUAAAAAUAUUUCAGAUUCUGAUGUGCUUUUGUGAAAGUGUAACUAAGUGAAUAAUUCAAAGAUUUUAUCUUUUAAUAUGCAAAUA